GACGAACCGUGCGAACGUUGUUCGGAAUCACUGGGCUUAAAGGGCGCGUAGGCGGGCUGUCAAGUCCGGGGUGAAAUCUUUCGGCUUAACCGGAAAAGUGCCUUGGAUACUGGCAGUCUGGAGGGAGGUAGGGGCAUGUGGAACUUCCGGUGGAGCGGUGAAAUGCGUUGAUAUCGGAAGGAACGCCGGUGGCGAAAGCGACGUGCUGGACCUCUUCUGACGCUGAGGCGCGAAAGCUAGGGGAGCGAACGGG
Molecule: ribosomal RNA, 253 nt
Filed under: uncultured bacterium
Lineage: Bacteria
Description: partial 16S ribosomal RNA
Rfam family: Bacterial small subunit ribosomal RNA
Source: RNAcentral